RNAcentral lists this ribosomal RNA (480 nucleotides) under uncultured bacterium. RNAcentral describes it as "partial 16S ribosomal RNA". It matches the Rfam family "Bacterial small subunit ribosomal RNA", at positions 28 to 507 of the family's 1533-position model. The record is from RNAcentral.
GACGAACGCUGGCGGCGUGCUUAACACAUGCAAGUCGAACGAUGAAGCAAAGAAUCGAAGCUUCGGCAGAAAUUCAUUUCGGAUUAGUGGCAGACGGGUGAGUAACGCGUGAGCAACCUACCUCUUACAAAGGGAUAGCCUCGGGAAACCGGGAUUAAUACCAUAUAACAUUGCGACGAAGCAUUUCGAUGCAAUCAAAGCUACGGCGGUAAGAGAUGGGCUCGCGUCCCAUUAACCGGAUGGUGAGGUAACGGCUCACCAUAGGGACGAUGGGUAACCGGCCUGAGAGGGUGAACGGUCACACUGGAACUGAGACACGGUCCAGACUCCUACGGGAGGCAGCAGUGGGGAAUAUUGCACAAUGGAGGGAACUCUGAUGCAGCGACGCCGCGUGAGUGAUGAAGUAAUUCGUGUCGUAAAACUCUGUUCUAUGGGAAGAAAAUGACGGUACCAUAGGAGAAAGCUCCGGCUAAAUACGUG